RNAcentral lists this non-coding RNA (209 nucleotides) under Platyophrya macrostoma. The record is from RNAcentral. Lineage: Eukaryota; Ciliophora; Colpodea; Cyrtolophosidida; Platyophryidae.
ACAAAACAAAACUAAAAAAAAAAAAAAAACCUCUCCCUCUCUGCUUUGUUGCCCCAUUUUGUUCCAAAAGUUGUUAUUUACCACAUCUUAUCAUCUAUACAUUUAUACAUAUUCCGCAUCGAGAUUGACAUGAGGAAGGAAGCGGAGAGAGAGAGAGAAAGAGAAAUGUACCGAUGAGUAGCAAAAGAAGGUGCACUUCAUGUUUUUCC